RNAcentral lists this ribosomal RNA (713 nucleotides) under uncultured Stenotrophomonas bacterium. RNAcentral's name for it is "bacterial SSU rRNA". It matches the Rfam family "Bacterial small subunit ribosomal RNA", at positions 118 to 827 of the family's 1533-position model. Lineage: Bacteria; Pseudomonadati; Pseudomonadota; Gammaproteobacteria; Lysobacterales; Lysobacteraceae. The record is from RNAcentral.
UCGGAAUCUACUUUUUCGUGGGGGAUAACGUACGGAAACUUACGCUAAUACCGCAUACGACCUACGGGUGAAAGCAGGGGAUCUUCGGACCUUGCGCGAUUGAAUGAGCCGAUGUCGGAUUAGCUAGUUGGCGGGGUAAAGGCCCACCAAGGCGACGAUCCGUAGCUGGUCUGAGAGGAUGAUCAGCCACACUGGAACUGAGACACGGUCCAGACUCCUACGGGAGGCAGCAGUGGGGAAUAUUGGACAAUGGGCGCAAGCCUGAUCCAGCCAUACCGCGUGGGUGAAGAAGGCCUUCGGGUUGUAAAGCCCUUUUGUUGGGAAAGAAAUCCAGCUGGUUAAUACCCGGUUGGGAUGACGGUACCCAAAGAAUAAGCACCGGCUAACUUCGUGCCAGCAGCCGCGGUAAUACGAAGGGUGCAAGCGUUACUCGGAAUUACUGGGCGUAAAGCGUGCGUAGGUGGUCGUUUAAGUCCGUUGUGAAAGCCCUGGGCUCAACCUGGGAACUGCAGUGGAUACUGGACGACUAGAGUGUGGUAGAGGGUAGCGGAAUUCCUGGUGUAGCAGUGAAAUGCGUAGAGAUCAGGAGGAACAUCCAUGGCGAAGGCAGCUACCUGGACCAACACUGACACUGAGGCACGAAAGCGUGGGGAGCAAACAGGAUUAGAUAUCCUGGUAGUCCACGCCCUAUACGAUGCGAACUGGAUGUUGGG